This 214-nucleotide long non-coding RNA is filed under the name Medicago truncatula (barrel medic). Its description in RNAcentral is "long non-coding RNA (MTRU_LNC004986)". The record is from RNAcentral. Lineage: Eukaryota; Viridiplantae; Streptophyta; Magnoliopsida; Fabales; Fabaceae.
CGAUACUCGUCUAUAUCACUGUGGCAUCACAGCUAUGCCUAGGUACAAUCAUAUAUUUACACACUCUUUCACACUUUCUCAUGUUCAUUAUGAUACUGGCUUGAGUGUCGAAGGACAGUAUCCGUCUCACCAGAGCUUCUCCUAGACCGUACUGAAGUAGAUAAAAUAGUCACAAGGAAGGGGGGUUUGAAUUGUGACACUUUAAAAAUUAAAC